GAAAAUUGGAGUUCAGAAACCAAAACAAAAACGGGGUGUAAUCGAAAAACCUAAAGAGUAGAAAACAA
Molecule: regulatory RNA element, 68 nt
Organism: Flavobacterium sp. KMS
Lineage: Bacteria; Pseudomonadati; Bacteroidota; Flavobacteriia; Flavobacteriales; Flavobacteriaceae
Rfam family: DUF805 RNA
Source: Rfam